UAGCAAAACAGAGAACAGAGACAUCUCACAGAAGAAUACACGUGAACAUCACCUGAAAGAGAAAUAAACAGACAUGAGGAAUUAAUAACAACAACAACAAUAAUAACCCGGAUUACAUGAGUAGAGGUGCGAUACUGAGCCACUGGUGCAGUCAUUUAUUGAGGAGUAGGGGAUGGAGGCGAUCAAGCGGCAUCUGAAUACUGGAAGGUGCACUGCAUGAAAAGUAGGAUUUUCGUCAGUAAGCGGCACUGUAGAUUGCCGUGGAAGUUCAGGUUUACGACUGCACACGGCAAUUUGCAGGCAACACCGAAAACUGCCGUGAAUUGUCAGAAAUUGACGUGGACCUUGCUUGGCAGUUGUCCCCCCGUGACCCCCCUUCCCCUAAUUCCAGGGGAGGCUUUAACAUGUAAAUUAAAAUACUGUGAGCUAUACAAAUGCAAAUUCUCUCAGAAUCAACUAAUUUUGAGAGAAAUGUCUGCAGGUAUCCAUCUGCUACUUCCAGUCUAUUGAUGGAUAUGACUCUGGAGCAGAGUAUGAUACAAGCCUGCACAAAGUCAAGUUUUUAUAAUUCCUAAGCCAAAGCAAAUGUUGAGUUUAAAUCAGUCAUAAAUCCAGAAUGAAACAUGGUUGUUUUAGGAUACAGAGUGUACUUGAAACCUAAGCAAGAGAUCUCAGGAAAUAAAAUCAACAAAAUCAGUAAAAUCACCUAGAACAAACACAAGCCAAAGUGUCUGUUUUUUUCCCCUUAAUAUAUGUAAUCGCUCAUAAGAUAAAUAAUUUGAUUAUGAACAAUAGCAACAUCAAUUAACAAGACUUGUUAAUAAAAAACAUUAAAGACUUUGCAAUUCACAUUUGCUUUAGGUAGCCUACUGCUAAUUUUAGCUUAAUCUGUCUCUUGUAAUUUGUGUUUAGAAAACAUGGUAGCACACUACAGACACAAUAUGAUACACUAUUGUUGAAAAUAAAUAUUUAUACUUUACUUAAUUUCGUUGACAAGUUUGACAUUCAUUGAAACUAGUGUCCCAUGUUAACGUGGGCGUGGUUUGUGAGCGUGACGUGAGAGCAUGAUAAACUUCCUUAAAACUGCUCCAAAAACGCAGGAACGAACACCGCAUAAUCGAGGCGAUUUAUUACGCAUUAUACAGCUGGUGAAACAUACGUUUUUAAAUCUAUAAUCCGUGGAAUAUCGCAUGUGACGAAUCUGUCGCCGUCUAACAUUUGCUGGAAAUCCAGGUAAAACUAUCUGCGUGCUCGCGCGCGCCCCAGUUAACAUGAUCCCCAGUUAACAUGAUCCCCAGUUGAUCCGUAACACCGGCGAGAAGAAACUGCUGAAUGCUAUCAGUGGGCUGCCGAUGUGAGCAGUUCACUUUAGUAAACUCCAGGUUGCUGUCCAUAGAAGAUAGGUUGGCUGCUUUGGAUUCGAAAAACUGUGUGGAAGAUACUAACUCUAAGAAGAGAAGACGGGUGCACAAUCCUAAAAUUGCGCUGCCUGUAAGACACAUUACGAGACAGUAUGCAGGAGCUUCAGGUACAAACAUCCAGAUCUUGCAUCGCAGGCGGAAGCUGUGAAGCGGUUAGCUCGGAGUCGAGCGAGAAGAAAGAAGCUGCUAGAAGCAAGACCGUGUGCUAGCUGAGGAUGAGGUGGGCCUUUGGAAGUGCGCUACCGUAGACCUGAUGUCUGAUGAGGAAGACUGCAUCGUUGACGGGGUGUCUGGAUGGAUUGCACCGAGCUCUGUGCCACGCUGCAGUCGAGAUUUGAGGCGAUUCCAAAGUAAAGGACAACGCACCACAGACAUCUGUAAAAUGGACUGAAUUCAGACAGAAUGCCGCUAGUUACCUACAGCUCCGAAGCGGAAAACAGACAUUUCAUGGUGCUGUAGGAUUUUGGGCUUCUCGUGAGCUCCCCAUUUGUUGUGUGGGCAGAUCUCCUACGUUUUGUACAUGGUUGUGUGUUUGUGUUUGUGCUAAUAAAGCUCUUUCUUUGAAUAAACA
Molecule: long non-coding RNA, 1992 nt
Organism: Megalobrama amblycephala (Wuchang bream)
Lineage: Eukaryota; Metazoa; Chordata; Actinopteri; Cypriniformes; Xenocyprididae
Exons: 3
Source: RefSeq, a predicted model, not a curated record